This 106-nucleotide ribosomal RNA is filed under the name Prolemur simus (greater bamboo lemur). Lineage: Eukaryota; Metazoa; Chordata; Mammalia; Primates; Lemuridae. The record is from RNAcentral.
GUCUAUGACCAUACCACCCUGAACACAGCCAGUCUCCUCUGAUCUCGGAAGCUAAGCAGAGUCGGGCCUAGUUAGUACCUGGAUAGGAGAAAUAAUAUCUUUGAAA